UUCGCAAUGCCCGAAAGGGUGACGAAGCGACGCCGCGUGAGCGAAGAAGGCCCUAGGGUUGUAAAGCUCUGUCGGGGGUUAUGAAGUGCAGGUUGGUUAAUACCCAACUUGUUUGACAAAGGCCCCAAAGGAAGCCACGGCUAACUCUGUGCCAGCAGCCGCGGUAAUACAGAGGUGGCAAGCGUUGUUCGGUAUUAUUGGGCGUAAAGAGCACGUAGGUGGUUUUGUAAGUCAGAUGUGAAAGCCUUCUGUUCAAAGGAAGAACGGCAUCUGAAACUGCAGAUCUUGAGUGUAGGAGGGGAGAGUGGAACUUCUGGUGGAGCGGUGAAAUGCGUAGAUAUCAGAAGGAACGUCGGCGGCGAAAGCGACUCUCUGGCCUAUUACUGACACUGAGUGUGCGAAAGUUAGGGGAGCAAACGGGAUUAGAUACCCCGGUAGUCCUAGCCGUAAACGAUGGGCACUAAGUAGAGGGGUUUU
This 477-nucleotide ribosomal RNA is filed under the name uncultured anaerobic ammonium-oxidizing bacterium. Its description in RNAcentral is "bacterial SSU rRNA". It matches the Rfam family "Bacterial small subunit ribosomal RNA", at positions 365 to 832 of the family's 1533-position model. The record is from RNAcentral.